This 1009-nucleotide ribosomal RNA is filed under the name Nodulosphaeria thalictri. Its description in RNAcentral is "SSU rRNA". It matches the Rfam family "Eukaryotic small subunit ribosomal RNA", at positions 93 to 1112 of the family's 1831-position model. Lineage: Eukaryota; Fungi; Ascomycota; Dothideomycetes; Pleosporales; Phaeosphaeriaceae. The record is from RNAcentral.
AUGGCUCAUUAAAUCAGUUAUCGUUUAUUUGAUAGUACCUUACUACUUGGAUAACCGUGGUAAUUCUAGAGCUAAUACAUGCUGAAAACCCCAACUUCGGGAGGGGUGUAUUUAUUAGAUAAAAAACCAACGCCCUUCGGGGCUUCUUGGUGAUUCAUGAUAACUUAACGGAUCGCAUGGCCUUGCGCCGGCGACGGUUCAUUCAAAUUUCUGCCCUAUCAACUUUCGAUGGUAAGGUAUUGGCUUACCAUGGUUUCAACGGGUAACGGGGAAUUAGGGUUCGAUUCCGGAGAGGGAGCCUGAGAAACGGCUACCACAUCCAAGGAAGGCAGCAGGCGCGCAAAUUACCCAAUCCCGACACGGGGAGGUAGUGACAAUAAAUACUGAUACAGGGCUCUUUUGGGUCUUGUAAUUGGAAUGAGUACAAUUUAAACCUCUUAACGAGGAACAAUUGGAGGGCAAGUCUGGUGCCAGCAGCCGCGGUAAUUCCAGCUCCAAUAGCGUAUAUUAAAGUUGUUGCAGUUAAAAAGCUCGUAGUUGAACCUUGGGUCUGGCUGGCAGGUCCGCCUCACCGCGUGUACUUGUCCGGCCGGGCCUUCCUUCUGGAGAACCUCAUGCCCUUCACUGGGCGUGUUGGGGACCAGGACUUUUACUUUGAAAAAAUUAGAGUGUUCAAAGCAGGCCUUUGCUCGAAUACGUUAGCAUGGAAUAAUAAAAUAGGACGUGCGGUCCUAUUUUGUUGGUUUCUAGGACCGCCGUAAUGAUUAAUAGGGACAGUCGGGGGCAUCAGUAUUCAAUUGUCAGAGGUGAAAUUCUUGGAUUUAUUGAAGACUAACUACUGCGAAAGCAUUUGCCAAGGAUGUUUUCAUUAAUCAGUGAACGAAAGUUAGGGGAUCGAAGACGAUCAGAUACCGUCGUAGUCUUAACCGUAAACUAUGCCGACUAGGGAUCGGGCGAUGUUCUUUUUCUGACUCGCUCGGCACCUUACGAGAAAUCAAAGUUUUUGGGU